AGCGGCGGACGGGUGAGUAAUGCCUAGGAAUCUGCCUGGUAGUGGGGGAUAACGUUCGGAAACGGACGCUAAUACCGCAUACGUCCUACGGGAGAAAGCAGGGGACCUUCGGGCCUUGCGCUAUCAGAUGAGCCUAGGUCGGAUUAGCUAGUUGGUGAGGUAAUGGCUCACCAAGGCGACGAUCCGUAACUGGUCUGAGAGGAUGAUCAGUCACACUGGAACUGAGACACGGUCCAGACUCCUACGGGAGGCAGCAGUGGGGAAUAUUGGACAAUGGGCGAAAGCCUGAUCCAGCCAUGCCGCGUGUGUGAAGAAGGUCUUCGGAUUGUAAAGCACUUUAAGUUGGGAGGAAGGGCAGUUACCUAAUACGUGAUUGUUUUGACGUUACCGACAGAAUAAGCACCGGCUAACUCUGUGCCAGCAGCCGCGGUAAUACAGAGGGUGCAAGCGUUAAUCGGAAUUACUGGGCGUAAAGCGCGCGUAGGUGGUUAGUUAAGUUGGAUGUGAAAUCCCCGGGCUCAACCUGGGAACUGCAUUCAAAACUGACUGACUAGAGUAUGGUAGAGGGUGGUGGAAUUUCCUGUGUAGCGGUGAAAUGCGUAGAUAU
Molecule: ribosomal RNA, 607 nt
Filed under: uncultured bacterium
Lineage: Bacteria
Description: bacterial SSU rRNA
Rfam family: Bacterial small subunit ribosomal RNA
Source: RNAcentral